This 885-nucleotide ribosomal RNA is filed under the name uncultured bacterium. RNAcentral describes it as "bacterial SSU rRNA". It matches the Rfam family "Bacterial small subunit ribosomal RNA", at positions 28 to 896 of the family's 1533-position model. The record is from RNAcentral.
GACGAACGCUGGCGGCGUGCCUAAUACAUGCAAGUUGAGCGCUGAAGGUUGGUACUUGUACCGACUGGAUGAGCAGCGAACGGGUGAGUAACGCGUGGGGAAUCUGCCUUUGAGCGGGGGACAACAUUUGGAAACGAAUGCUAAUACCGCAUAAAAACUUUAAACACAAGUUUUAAGUUUGAAAGAUGCAAUUGCAUCACUCAAAGAUGAUCCCGCGUUGUAUUAGCUAGUUGGUGAGGUAAAGGCUCACCAAGGCGAUGAUACAUAGCCGACCUGAGAGGGUGAUCGGCCACAUUGGGACUGAGACACGGCCCAAACUCCUACGGGAGGCAGCAGUAGGGAAUCUUCGGCAAUGGACGAAAGUCUGACCGAGCAACGCCGCGUGAGUGAAGAAGGUUUUCGGAUCGUAAAACUCUGUUGGUAGAGAAGAACGUUGGUGAGAGUGGAAAGCUCAUCAAGUGACGGUAACUACCCAGAAAGGGACGGCUAACUACGUGCCAGCAGCCGCGGUAAUACGUAGGUCCCGAGCGUUGUCCGGAUUUAUUGGGCGUAAAGCGAGCGCAGGUGGUUUAUUAAGUCUGGUGUAAAAGGCAGUGGCUCAACCAUUGUAUGCAUUGGAAACUGGUAGACUUGAGUGCAGGAGAGGAGAGUGGAAUUCCAUGUGUAGCGGUGAAAUGCGUAGAUAUAUGGAGGAACACCGGUGGCGAAAGCGGCUCUCUGGCCUGUAACUGACACUGAGGCUCGAAAGCGUGGGGAGCAAACAGGAUUAGAUACCCUGGUAGUCCACGCCGUAAACGAUGAGUGCUAGAUGUAGGGAGCUAUAAGUUCUCUGUAUCGCAGCUAACGCAAUAAGCACUCCGCCUGGGGAGUACGACCGCAAGGUUG